GGUGAGGGCACAUCAGCAGCUGUGAUGCAUGCGGCCACAGACACAGAGAGCACGCCCAUAAAAAUAAAAAAAAAAAUCCGUCCUUUUUUUGAAUAGAGCCCUGGGUAAUUACCCUAACCAUUGUUCUAUGAGAAAGCCCUGUUUACACCAUUUCAUCAGUUUAGGAUCUAGAUGGGAACGAUCACCGGCAUUAAGCGGUGAAGGCAAUUUGCUUUUUCAAUGAAGAAAGGACCAAAAAAAAAAAAAUAAUAGCACUGAAAGAUCUCUGCUCCUGAGUUGCCCGUGUUCACAGCCAAGGCUCACCCCACAUGAAAAGGAUCCUGAGGAGGAGUCUGUCUGACCUUCCUCCUAAACAGAGCCCAAGGAUAACGAGGA
RNAcentral lists this long non-coding RNA (375 nucleotides) under Bos taurus (domestic cattle). RNAcentral describes it as "long non-coding RNA NONBTAT004156". The record is from RNAcentral. Lineage: Eukaryota; Metazoa; Chordata; Mammalia; Artiodactyla; Bovidae.